GGGUUGUGAGGUUAAGCGACUAAGCGUACACGGUGGAUGCCCUGGCAGUCAGAGGCGAUGAAGGACGUGCUAAUCUGCGAUAAGCGUCGGUAAGGUGAUAUGAACCGUUAUAACCGGCGAUUUCCGAAUGGGGAAACCCAGUGUGUUUCGACACACUAUCAUUAACUGAAUCCAUAGGUUAAUGAGGCGAACCGGGGGAACUGAAACAUCUAAGUACCCCGAGGAAAAGAAAUCAACCGAGAUUCCCCCAGUAGCGGCGAGCGAACGGGGAGCAGCCCAGAGCCUGAAUCAGUGUGUGUGUUAGUGGAAGCGUCUGGAAAGGCGCGCGAUACAGGGUGACAGCCCCGUACACAAAAAUGCACAUAUUGUGAGCUCGAUGAGUAGGGCGGGACACGUGGUAUCCUGUCUGAAUAUGGGGGGACCAUCCUCCAAGGCUAAAUACUCCUGACUGACCGAUAGUGAACCAGUACCGUGAGGGAAAGGCGAAAAGAACCCCGGCGAGGGGAGUGAAAAAGAACCUGAAACCGUGUACGUACAAGCAGUGGGAGCACGCUUAGGCGUGUGACUGCGUACCUUUUGUAUAAUGGGUCAGCGACUUAUAUUCUGUAGCAAGGUUAACCGAAUAGGGGAGCCGAAGGGAAACCGAGUCUUAACUGGGCGUUAAGUUGCAGGGUAUAGACCCGAAACCCGGUGAUCUAGCCAUGAGCAGGUUGAAGGUUGGGUAACACUAACUGGAGGACCGAACCGACUAAUGUUGAAAAAUUAGCGGAUGACUUGUGGCUGGGGGUGAAAGGCCAAUCAAACCGGGAGAUAGCUGGUUCUCCCCGAAAGCUAUUUAGGUAGCGCCUCGUGAA
This 854-nucleotide ribosomal RNA is filed under the name Escherichia coli. Its description in RNAcentral is "partial 23S ribosomal RNA". It matches the Rfam family "Bacterial large subunit ribosomal RNA", at positions 1 to 888 of the family's 2925-position model. Lineage: Bacteria; Pseudomonadati; Pseudomonadota; Gammaproteobacteria; Enterobacterales; Enterobacteriaceae. The record is from RNAcentral.